This 50-nucleotide non-coding RNA is filed under the name Trypanosoma brucei brucei. The record is from RNAcentral. Lineage: Eukaryota; Euglenozoa; Kinetoplastea; Trypanosomatida; Trypanosomatidae.
CUAUAACUCCAAUGACGAAAUCAGUUUUACAGUGAUAUGAUAAUUUAAAU